CUCCCCUCUAGUCCUCUUAAAGGUCGUAAUUUUAGAAUACUACGAUGCCGAUUUCUAUCUAUUAGGCUACUUUACAUUUACAUCUGAUAUCACGAAAAUUAUGGAUACCGAUCACAAAAGGCACUGUUCUUUGAAAUCGUUGAUAUGAUUUUGUUUUGUUGCUAUAUUCAGGUCACCAGCAGAAGAGCAACCUAGAAGGCUCACCUGGGAUCUGAUCGGUUUAAGACAUUAGAACUCUGUACGUUUACACAAAGAAGCAAUAAAGAUCAAUCGUUGGCCAAUCAUAUUAAAGUUUCUUCUAAAUUUUAUCUUCAUUUCAUUCGUGAGCUUUCAUUAUUACAACAAAUUGGUAUCAGAUCUGGAUCGAUUGAUUUUUUGUAAGGAUCUUUGGCUGCGUUUUCUUAUGGAUCGAUUGAAUAGGGUGAAGAAUUUUUUGGGUGACAAUUCAAUAACGGUUUUCGAUAUAAAGAUCUUGGGUGUGCGAUUUCUCUGUGCAUUUUCGAUCUUUAAAAAGGUAUAAAGCCAAUCUCAUCUCACUUUGCUUCUUUGAAUUCUUUUAAUGUUUUUUUGGGUGUCGAACGAAAGUGGCGUCUCUUAAAACACUCUCCCUCUUUAAGUAUUGUCAACUAGGUACCAAUUAAAUUACCAAUUAUAACGACCAAAACAGGAAAUCAACCAAGAAUUCGCUUGAUAAAUAUUCAAACAUAAAAAAGAAUGUGGUAUUUAAGUGGCAGAAAUCUAGCCAAGUAUUGUCAACUUGGUACCAAUUAUAAGUAAGUGGUUAUUAAAAUGACAAAUGACCAUAUAUAACAUCGCUAUGGAAUGCAAAAAGCUAAGCGAAGAAUAGAAAUUAAGAGUCUUUUACCAUAAUGUUUGGAAUUAUGGCACUCAAGUUGUUUCCUUUUAAAAAAUUAGCAUACCAAUGUGCAGAUAGCUUAGGAUAUCGAGUCAACUCCUUGUCAGCCAUGUCAACAUAGUACAGACCAUAAGCAGAAGCAUAGCCUCCAAUCACCUCAUAGAGAUCGAGGAAAGACCAAACAAAAUAUCCUCUUGUGUUUGAUCCAUUCCUAGUAUAACACAAGAAUUAAGAAAAAUGAUAUAUAUAUAUAUAUAUAUAUAUAUAUAUAUAUAUGAGGAUUAAAUAAUGAUCUAUAAAGCUCUCUAAAAAGAUUUUGAUUUAUUAGAAUGGAGUAGAAACUAGCAUCAUAUAUACCUUAGUGCAUCCAACAAAGCACCAAUAUAGGCAUGCAAGUACUCUACCCUUGGGGUGUCCAUCAAUGUUGCAUUUCGUGGUUGUGCUUGGCCUAUAAAGAAAAAAAAAAAAUCAUAUUUUAGGAUGUAGGUGACACAAAGAUAAACAUAUAAGUAAGAUGCAAUAGGAAUUUCAUAAGUAAUUUACCAUUUUCAUGGAUGUAGAUAGGAGGAUUUCCAUAUUCUUCCUUCAUAUAGUUAAGGAGACUUUGGAGACCCAAUGGAACCACCGGGAACUGAUCAGAUUAAAAAUAAAAAAAAUAAAACAUGAAACUCAGUCCAAUUGGAAAGGAAUAAUUAAUGUUUAAUAAUAAUAAUAAUAAGAAAAGAGAAACAACAAAUGAUCAAAAUGUUUAAACCUGAGCUGGAAAUUCAUUUCCAGUGCCGACUGCAGAAAUGUAAAUUAACAUCAUGUCAGUAUUAGUUUAUAUAGUGAUUGAUGUUUUAAGUGUCGAAUUUUUUCAAGAGGAAAACAUGUGAGGAAGUUAAAGGCAACUCUAUCUAGCAUGAAGAUUCAAGAUUUAGAGUGAAGUCAAUAUUCAUACAUGUAUAUGUUACUCCCAUGUCUGCAUCGAAAUCCCUGGUAUCCAUUUCAAGACUAAUGGAGUUGUCCUUCACAUAUAAUGUGGUAUAGUGGUUCAUGCCUAAGAAGUCAAAUGAACCCUUCAUUCUCUGUGAUUCAAAUCUUGUAAAAGUUGGAAUUCGGUUCCCUGCAUUCUUCUUCAUUAUUUCUGGGUAGUCCCCAUUCACCAAGGGAUUUAAAAACCUGAAAUAGGAACCAUAAAAACAAAGAUCAAAUGAAAGUUGAGUUUAAUGCAAUUACAAAAAGCAAUAUAUGACUCUUGGUGUUUCUAAUAAUAUCAAUAUUGGUAAAAAGGUUAGCAUUUGUGUUCACUCACCAACCCAAAUAGAAAUCACGGGCUCUUUGGGUAGCUUUAACAUCUUCCGUUUUGUUUGUAUAAGGUUCAAACCAAAAGCCCAACAGAUUUAAUCCAAUAAAACCAUGUUGCAUGGCCUACAUAUAUCACCAAUAUCCGUCAAGUGUCAUUGUAGUGAGUGUUUUUUGAAGAAAAUAGUAUAAAAAGAUAGCAUUAUGAUGACAUGAGAGCUUCAAUAUUGCAAAUCUUUAUUACCUUGUAUUUUUGGCGAUAAAGUCUUGCUGCUGACGCAUGUGAUAGCAACAAAUUGUGAGCUACAAGGUAUGGCUCAGAAGUAGAGUUACCUUUGCUACAGUUAAACCCAAAUGGGGAAGAACAACGUCCAGGAGGUGUGAACCCAUAAUCAUAACCACCUAAAGUAAAUAUAUUGGCUUCAUUAAAAGUUGUCCAGUGUAAAACCCUAUCACCAAAUUCUCUGAAGCAAACAUCAGCAUAUGCAACAAAGUCUUUCCUGUAAUAUUUAUAAACAUAUCAUUCAUGCAAAUAUUAUAUGACAAACACAACUAGUUCCAUGUUAGAAAUGUACACUGAUUUUCUACUAGUCCAUCCUCCAUAUUCAUCUGCAAGUAUCUGUGGUAUGUCGAAAUGAUUUAAAGUAACAUGUGGUUGUAUUCCUGUACACUCGGAACAAGUAAUUCAAUCUUUUUUAGGCAUUGUUUGUUUAGUUAGAAAAUUGAACUUGUAUUUCUUGAUGACAAGACAUUGGCAUUUUUAUAUCUAAUUACCAUGAGCAAUAAGCCUGUUGAUGAAAUCGUUGUAGAAUUGUAAGCCCUUUACAUUGAUCGAUCCUCUUCCAUCUUCAAAAAAUAAAAAUAAAGUAAAAUUGUUUAUAAGGAAGACAAGUGAAGAUCCAUAAAAUUUUCAUUAGACUAUUAAGUGAACAUACUAGGGAUGAGUCUCGACCAAGAGAUAGAAAAUCUAUAUGCUUCCAAACCCAUGUCUGCUAUAAGUUCAAUGUCUUCCUGCAUUAAUAUUCAACUACAAUGAGUUGUAGUGGCUCAAAGUAAACUAAUUUCUAUAUUAAUUAGGAGUCUACUAUUUUGACUUGUAAUGUUGUAUGAAGCCAUAUCUCCUUAAACAUGUAUUAAACCGAUUAGAAUGGAGUUCUUAUGCUAGUUAUCGAAAAAAUGAGUUGUUUGUUGUGGCAAAUCUAGAUGGUGUUUACCUUGUAUUUAUGGUACCCAUCACAUGUUAUGUCUGCAUUUUCUCCAUUGUUCCAGGGAACCCCUUCAUAGUAUCACACAAAAAAUUACAUUGAAACUUAAGAGUUGUAGCAUUUAGUAUUGGUGAUUUUAGUGUCAUCAAGCAAUUUAAGUAAUUAGGAUUUACACUACUACUUAAAGGAUUUAAAGUUAUGCUUGAAUAUGAGUCAUGAGGUGUGAGUCUUCACUCAUAUGAGCUAGUUUGAUCUUGGACACAACCAAUGGUAGGGAUCAAGGGGGUUGCACCCCUUAAGGGGUCUAGGGCAAUGCCAUGAAACCUCAAAGGUUCCGAAGUGUAGCGUUGAAACCUGCUACUAAAAACUUGGGCUGCAAACAGUUUUAGGGUCAUGUUGUUACAGCCAUGUCAAGAAUUUCAUAAUACCACCAACAACACGCAUUAGUAAUUAAUGUUCAUCUCGAUGAUGGAACUACUUGUAUAAACAUAGAGAGGUAUUUUGGAUUUUAUUGUUCUCUCUAAUAUUUGAGAUUGAACAAGCUAAACAUGAAUUUAGUCAAGGACAUAUAGUUAUUGACUAAAUUCAAAUUUGUCAUUUAGAUUGCAUUAUGCUCAAGUAAAUUUCAUGAUACCUAAUAACGUAAUUGUUGAAUAGUACUUUUGGAAAGUUUCUCACACGAUUCAUUUCGGAAUGUUUCUCACACAAUCCAUUUCUCUAUAAAUGCUUACACAAGAUCAAUACUCGCAUCGUUUGUCACACCUCCACUUAUACAAGAUCAAUAUUCACUGCAUCACUUUUGAACCGUCUAGACUGAUUUUACCCGAUUUGACCUUGACCGAUUAAUAAUUGUAGUCGGUAAAUUGCCGUCAUGCGCUCAAGCAGCGCCAAUUUAUUGGGGGCUUAGGCUGAUUUUUAAAACAUUGGUCUGAAGUCUCAGGCCUAACAUGAAAUAAUUUACCUACUUGAUAACUUCCAGCAGUGGACCAAUUUAUUGUCGGACCGAUUUCCACACAACCAGUCGAUUUCCAUUCGGAGUCAGAAAUCGAUAUGUAAUUGCUUGAUUAUUUUCAUUUUGCAAAACAUGAUUGACAACGAACAACAUCACUAUAUUUGAAGGCAAACUAGCAAAAACACUUACAAAAUACUUGGCAUCAUUGUCGAUUAUCUACAUAACAACUCUAGUUCCAAGACAAUAGAGAGAGAGAGACAAAAAGGUUCUGAUUUGUUUCUAAUCUUAACUUGAAAGCCUUCAAGUAAUUAAAUUUGUUAAAACCUUAACCUAUGGGUGUAGUUUAAAACUAUGAAAUGGGUGUGACAUGUCGAGUUUAAAACUAUGAAAUGGGUGUAAUUUAAAACUAUGAAAUGUUUGUGGUCCGGAAUGUUGAAAACAAUGUAUGACAUGUCGAGUUCGAAUGUACUAUGUGUGGAAUUAAGAACCAGAGGAAUGUCUAAAAUAUGCAAAAUGUCCAAAAUAUCAUAUCCCUAUAAAAAGGUAGUCCCAAAUGUCACAUCUCACAUGUCUAACUAACAUUUAAAACAAAAAAAAGGAGCUGAUAUUGCCACGGUAAUUAUUGAUUCAUCCACUGAAAAUAGAUUGACAAUUAUGCCCCUGCUUACUAAUCUUUCUAUCAAAAAAACCCACACAUCUGAAAAGUGAAAACUCCAAACCACGCACAACAAACAUACAAUUACUCCUCCUCAUUUGGUGCUGGUUCGAUCGAUUCUUUUUCAGCCGCCAACAUUGGUACAUGUAGUAGCCGGAAGCUGAUGGUGCACGUGGCUUGCAACAUAUUCAAUUCAAACGAGUGCAGUACACUCAUUAGAAGCUUUAAUCAACGGAGCUAUGCUGGGUGAUGGUGGUGGGGUUUCUUAUUUUGAGCUUUGAGUGAAACUUGAAGCGGUGAACACUAUCAGAAGAACGACAGGUGUUGAUAUCACAUAAAUUGCCCAAAAAAACCUUCUUUUCUUCUCUUCUCUCUGUGUGAUAUAAACCCAACAGCUAGGUUUUUUAUUUUAUUUUUUGUGUGUACAAAAACAUAGCAAGGAAUGAGAGAAACAUAGCAGGGAGUGAGAGGACUUUAUCCAACGAUGUGAACCCAUGUUUCAGUCGGCUCCUAACUGUGUUUAGAGUUUCCUUAAUGAUAUUGAAAAUCCCAGAGAUGUAAAUGAUGUGUUGAAUUACAAUUUGGUUUCUCACAAUUAUCAAGAUCUACAUACGGAGGUGGAUCUUAAACCUAAUUUGAUUAUUGGUUUCUCUCUCUAUCCUCAAUUGCAAUCACCUCAUUAUCCGAGACAAAGUAUAAGUCAAGCAAGCAUAGAUAGUACAAAUUCAUAUCUAAAAUGGGUUCAAGUCUUUGGAGAUAAAAUUGCUCUCCUGCUAGAUUAAUCUCUUACCUCAAUCAUCCAAAUGGUAUUGUUCAAUGUUCUUGAUUCUAUUCAUGUUUUUCUCCUUCAACUUCUUCAAUUUAUUUUUUGGGUAUGUCAUGAAAUCGUAAUGGAAAACCACAAAAGCAAGUAACCAAUAAAAAUUUGAAUAGCUCGGGCCAAGUAAACCACCAGAAGAUCUGAACGAAAAGAGGCGAGACGAUGAACAAUGUGCUCUAAUUUUGUUAUUAAUAAUGCCAUGAGCAGACCGGAUAAAACACCCAUAUUGGCACCAAUUUUCUUGAACACGGAGACGGUGUUGAGAGCAGAUUGAUUGUAACCUCGACGGGAUGAAAUGCCGGUAUGUUGGCCACUGUAGCUAUCCAUUUGUUGUUUUCCAUUACUAAUUUAUUACCCUUUAAAUCCAUAUACCAUAUCCAUGGACCGUGCCUACAAUGAUUCUGGUUUAUACUUCUUUAUAAUAGCUAUAGAACACCAAAAUUGGCAUCGGAUGAUGGGCGUGUGUGCCUUUUUUGAAACAAAGAUAAGGUUGCUCUUUUUUAAGUGAACAGGGGUAUAAUUGUAAAUCUCUAUUUUUUCGGUGGAAGCAUAAAAAAAUUCCGUGGCAAUAUCACCUCCCACAAAAAAAGGUAGUCUGAAAUGCAAUAUUUAGGACAUUGAUCAUUUUGGUAACUUUUGAAAGUUACAUUAUUAACUUAAACGUCUAAUAAUCAUGUAUCCAGUUUUCUUUAUAUAUUUCAUUAUAUUUUGAUUUGAUUCAUCUAUCUUUUUUAAGUCAAACUACAUACCAAAACAAAUAAAUUUUAAGAUAUUCAUUUUAUUUACCUCAUUUAUAUGGGACUUGAUUUAUAGGGUAAAUAGCACAAAAAACACUUUUUUUAUACAGAAAUUUGAUUUUGACACCGUGUUUUUUUUUUGUGUUAAUUUUGACACUGUGUUUUUCAAUUUGUUACAAUUCUGACCACUUGACUGGUUAACCAGGUUACAUGCUGACGUGACAUGAUGACGUGUCAAUUUUGAUGAGGUGGCAUGCUG
This 6768-nucleotide long non-coding RNA is filed under the name Lactuca sativa (garden lettuce). RNAcentral's name for it is "long non-coding RNA (LSAT_LNC009200)". The record is from RNAcentral. Lineage: Eukaryota; Viridiplantae; Streptophyta; Magnoliopsida; Asterales; Asteraceae.